Molecule: ribosomal RNA, 395 nt
Filed under: Micrococcus luteus
Lineage: Bacteria; Bacillati; Actinomycetota; Actinomycetes; Micrococcales; Micrococcaceae
Description: bacterial SSU rRNA
Rfam family: Bacterial small subunit ribosomal RNA
Source: RNAcentral
CGAGCCUGAUGCAGCGACGCCGCGUGAGGGAUGACGGCCUUCGGGUUGUAAACCUCUUUCAGUAGGGAAGAAGCGAAAGUGACGGUACCUGCAGAAGAAGCACCGGCUAACUACGUGCCAGCAGCCGCGGUAAUACGUAGGGUGCGAGCGUUAUCCGGAAUUAUUGGGCGUAAAGAGCUCGUAGGCGGUUUGUCGCGUCUGUCGUGAAAGUCCGGGGCUUAACCCCGGAUCUGCGGUGGGUACGGGCAGACUAGAGUGCAGUAGGGGAGACUGGAAUUCCUGGUGUAGCGGUGGAAUGCGCAGAUAUCAGGAGGAACACCGAUGGCGAAGGCAGGUCUCUGGGCUGUAACUGACGCUGAGGAGCGAAAGCAUGGGGAGCGAACAGGAUUAGAUAC